RNAcentral lists this ribosomal RNA (111 nucleotides) under Mus spicilegus (steppe mouse). The record is from RNAcentral. Lineage: Eukaryota; Metazoa; Chordata; Mammalia; Rodentia; Muridae.
UCAGGCCACACUACCUUGACUGUGUUCAGUUUGAUCUGGUCUUGGAAGCUAAGCAGGGUCUGUCGUGGUUCGUACUUGGAUGGGGGAACUGAGGUCCCAGGGCAAACUGCA